Canis lupus familiaris (dog) is the source of this 2505-nucleotide long non-coding RNA. RefSeq lists it as uncharacterized. The transcript has 3 exons. The record is from RefSeq and is a predicted model, not a curated record. Lineage: Eukaryota; Metazoa; Chordata; Mammalia; Carnivora; Canidae.
UAGAUUCAGGAUUAAAUAUGCCCUGUGUGCUGGCGUGGGAACCUUUCUACCAUUCCUAGGAAAACAGCUCACAUUCCAAACAGCUGACUUCCAAAGUCCAGAAUAUGAUCUGCUUAGAAGCUGGGGAGCUGCCUACACAGUUCUAGCCUCUUUUCUCCUCCUGACUAAUCAAGGCAUCUUUUGUUUCCUGAGCCCAUUCUCUGGGAAGGAGUGUGAAAUCAACAUUGAAGGCCCCCAAAGCUUACACAAGCCUGGGUGAGAAGGAAAAAGCCCAAGGAAGCGGUUCUCAAAUGUUGUCUCAUGAAGUGUCAACACACUUACAACUUCGGGUAAUGCAGGCAUGUAUACCAGGAUACGGCCUCUGAGAAGCCCAGGGCUGAAAAAGAGACAUGUGAUGCAGCUGAAACAAGGCACUGUUUGGAUCCACCUGCACAGAGUGGCUGCCCCACAAUGGCAGGCAUCAAAGGUGGGCCAAGAGUUUCUGAAGUCCAGGGGCAUCUUCAGAGGGAUAGAUUUUGAUGAGAAAAAGAUCAUCUUCAGAUAAAGAGAUUAUCAUCAGGCAAUUAACUGAAUUAAUAACACGAAUUUCAGCAUCUGUGUUGCUGGUGCUUCUAGUCUUUAACAAAUGAUCCAUUCAAGAUAUGGACCAAAGAACAUAUGGCUAAGAAUAAAGGCCAUUUGAAACUGUACAACAGAUUAGAAGCUUUGGGGGUUCAGCUCAGUUAAAUUGACUGAGGCCAACUCAUGAGCAUGCUCAGUUAAGCCUCCCUCCCUGCCAUGCAUGUGUACAUGAUACCCACUCAGGGGCUCUAGAAUCAUUCUGGGAUGAGAGGUAGAAGCAUGUAAAUACUUUCUAAAAAACUUCUUGCCGUUAAAAUCUUCAAAACCAUGCUCAAGUACAGAAACAAGAAUAAUGAGCCCUUAACUUCUCCCAGCUCAAUUAUCACGGUCAAUCUUAAAUACGUAAAAAAAAAAUUUUUUUAAAUCUAAGUAGGCAUCAUUUUUGCUCCUAAAGACAAGAAACUUGGGGAGAUUUUCAUGACCUCCUGAGGGUUUGUGACCUGCUGCUUCUUUGGUUCACUGACCUUGUUCAAUCCUCUCUUUAUACAAGGGAAUGCUAUGCUUCUCCCAUUCUCUCUGGCUGUCUCUCAUGCUUGCAGCAAAUUAAGUGAACUCUCUAUCAUUUCAGCAAUGGUGACAUAUAAUCCCAGUGUUAAAGGAUGGAAUUUCCCAACGCAAGAAGCAGCAGAAAGCGAAUGGAGGAAACGUUGCCAUGAGCAAAGGCUCUCAACACAGUAUCUCCAACUGUGCUACAAAGCAGCCCAGCUUUUGGAUGAAAAGUGAAAAAAAGAAUCUGACAAUGGAGUGAUUGUUCUCCCUCCACAAGCAAUGCUACUAUUUCUAACCCCUCGAUGGGCUGUGCUGGCACCAGGCAGACAUCGUCUAGGUCUUCCUCCAGUGGCGGGCAAGCCUAAAGGCAAAGGGGAAAGGUCCUGUUGUUUUCCAAGAGAACAAGCUCCACACUAGGACUGCAGCCACCAGAACCUUCCCUCACAGAACAGAGUAGGAUGAUCAGGGCAGCUACUCACCUUGUCUCAUUUGUUCACGAAGAACCCAAAGCCAGCAACGUGGAUCUGCUCCUUGCUUUUUGUCCAACUACUUGCCUACUACUCUAGAAAAACAACCAAGGUCUGCCAAGAAUCUGCAAUCUCCUAAAUCUUAAAAUAAUGACUAGCCUAUCCAGAGUUUCCAUCCAAAGCAUUGUUGGUUCCUAUACAAGAAAACCCUCUGGGGUGAGAGUCAGGAGGCCAAGAAAGGCAUGUGGUUAUUUUUGCCACACUUAGGAAAGAAUGGGAAAGUCUAUUUUUGACAUCAGCUGUUCAGCUUUCAAAUAACAUCAACCCGUAAAACAUACCUAAUUUAAAAAUUGGUUACAAAUUUUACUUAACUUUAAGCCUUUUAGGUUUUGUAUUACUUCCAGUGCAUGCACAUGCACAUACAUGAGCACGUGUGUACACACACACACACACACACACACACACACUCACACCUACAUUCUAUUCCCUGGCCAUAUAUGAGCUAAAUAAAGUUUUGGCAUAGAUUAAGGGAAUCAUGCUCCCAUUUCCAUAGGACAACUUCCAUCUUGAAAAAUAUAAUAAUAAACAAGUGAUGAGGUAGAGAGUUGAUUGCUUUGUUCAGAUUACAACGCUUCUAAGACUGACUACGGCAUUCAGUGCAGUUAGCCAUUAAACAAGGAACUAUGUGUUCAAGAGAUAUGACGGGGGCAUGAAAUGGAGAGGGAUGAGGGGCAAGAAAAGGAAUCACAUGGUAGUUGUGUACUAUUGCAGUGGAUGUGUAAGUCAUUACACUUGGACCCUGAGCUGAAGGCAGAGAUCAGACACGAAGUUCCCUGAGGACUAAUAAGGACUGCAGUGUCACUGACCACUAACCACAUUUGCUCACACAAGUGAAAAUGGCUUCUCCACCUGGGGGCCCCUAGCUUAA